This 196-nucleotide ribozyme is filed under the name Anopheles gambiae (African malaria mosquito). RNAcentral describes it as "drz-agam-2-2 ribozyme". It matches the Rfam family "drz-agam-2-2 ribozyme". The record is from Rfam by way of RNAcentral. Lineage: Eukaryota; Metazoa; Arthropoda; Insecta; Diptera; Culicidae.
AUGAAGGUUAUAUAGGAACAUUGGGUUAUAUGCUCUGCAAUGGGAUGGGAUAAUACAGUCUCUUCUAUCCAACUCCUAUUCCGACACGUCCUCGUCGUGCAGAGUGGUAACAUGUGCCUCCAUAUAUCCUAGCUUGGGUAAACUGGCUAGAUCCAACCCCUUGUGCGGAUGAUGGCAUUUGGCGAACCAGGAGGCG